This is a long non-coding RNA of Neocloeon triangulifer, 517 nucleotides long. RefSeq lists it as uncharacterized. The record is from RefSeq and is a predicted model, not a curated record. The transcript is spliced from 3 exons. NCBI's taxonomy places the organism in Eukaryota, Metazoa, Arthropoda, Insecta, Ephemeroptera, Baetidae.
GGAGAAAGCGUCAAUAAACCUUCAGAGUGAAGAAGAUUCUUCACGCACACAGCACGCGAAACUAAAAGUGACAAAAUGCUAACUCGUUAUUUGAUUUCGUUGGCACUGCUUUGUCUAGUAGUUGGCGCCCAGCGUGGAAUUCGACCACCGCAAGUAGUUCAUUAUUGCUGGCUUGGACCGAUAAAGAGUGGGCAUUCCAACUCGUGUGAUGCGCUAAUCCCGAGAUUCACAUUCAACGCAAGAAUCGGCAAAUGUGAAAAAUUCAAUUACGGAGGAUGCAAUGGUUCCAAAAAUCUAUUUAAAACGUCAGCCGAGUGCCAAAGAGCGUGCAAACACCUAGUCAAACGGGAAUCAAAGAGAUUGCCCCUGCAGUUUACCUAGAGGACGGAGGAAUCCAUCAUUAAAUUAAAUAUCGAACAGUGUGAAACACAGGGAAUCUGCAAAUCUUAAUAUACGUGGCUAGUACAAAAAAUGAAGUGUGUGAAAAUAAAAUUACAAUUGAUAAAAUCAUACCUAA